UGCAAGGGCCCAAUGGGAACAGCCCACUAAGCCCAAGCAAGCCUAUUUAUGAAAUUCUAUUUCAUCAUUCCCACCAUCAUUUCUAACCACAAUCUUUAUUCUCAACUAUACAUAUUUCGAUAAUAAACAAGGCAACCAAAUAUUUAUAUUGGUACUAACCCAAAAUACUAUCAUUCAUUGCCAUUUCAUAAUGGCAUCAUCAUAUCACAUAUACAUCCAUUGUUUGUAGCCUAAAU
RNAcentral lists this long non-coding RNA (236 nucleotides) under Theobroma cacao (cacao). Its description in RNAcentral is "long non-coding RNA (TCAC_LNC003162)". Lineage: Eukaryota; Viridiplantae; Streptophyta; Magnoliopsida; Malvales; Malvaceae. The record is from RNAcentral.